CCAACUUUCCUGGCCAUUGGCAACGCUGUCUGAGGCUGAUGGGAGUUGUGGUCCAACAGCAUCUGGAGGCACACUGGUUGGGAAAGGCUGAUUCAACAGAUUAAAAUGGUUGCGCUUCUGUCCCGAUUUCUAAAAUUCCUUUCAUGCUGCAGUACCUGAAAGCGUGGUUUUUCAACCGAUAUACCAACAUUGUUGCACAAAUGUCUUUCACAUUGUUGCAACGGAAGACACAAAUACCAGAUGAAAAGGGCAAGAAAAUCAGCAAGAAAGCAAAAAUUUUAAAAAAAACACCCUCCAAAAAGUGCCAGAAACAAAGUGUUGAUGAAAACAGAAGUUGCUUUAAAAUAUAAGCCGCUGCAAAACAGAAUGGUGGGACUGCUGCGGUUAAGGUAAAAAAACCACCAGCUCUGCUGGGACUGAGGAGAGGAGGGCUUAAAAGACACUGGAAAAGGACUUGCAAAGCAACUUUAACAGGAAAGCAGACAAAGUAAACUGAACAUAGAGAAGAGACAAACAGGUAAGAUCUUUUAGAACUUUUAGCAGCUGCGGCUGCCUGGCUGCAUCGAAGGCAGGGGAAGAGGCAGGAAAGAACGGGACUUCCAAGGCACAAAUCAGAGGACAAAUGGAAAAACAACUUGAAGAAGGACUCACCAAGGCAACAAAAGAAUCGAUGACCUAGAACUGCCUCUUUUCUGACAUUUCCCAUUGGUCAAAAGCAUGAAACAUGAAAUCACAGUCCAAACAAAAGCAGUGAUCAUUCAACAUCUGCCUGGCUUUUCUGGUUUCUUUGCAAUUAAUGGGCUUCCACUGAAAAUGUCUGGAGUUUCCUGUUACUGUUCUGUUCUUGUUGGAGAGAGACAAUAAAGUUUUCAUCUAGUUUCCUGGCUGGUGUGUGGUUGUAUUCAACUAAGUCUUACUUAGAGUAGACCUGUUGAAGUCAAUAAACCUAAGUUAGUCAUGUCUGUUAACUUUAAUGGGUUUACUCUUGAGUAGGACUAGCACUGAAUACCAUCCACGAACAACAAACGCAGGAGAGGUCGGGAGAACAGCCAUAGCAGGUCUACUUGUUUAUGUUGUUGUUGUUCUUAUGCAAAGCAGGAAGAUGAAGUAAAAGUACACUCGCAUCCUUAUUCUGUAUCAGCCAGCAUAAAGAGGUAGACCACUCAGCCUGUGCCAAGAAGUCCAUGCCGUGUGCAGUGUGAGUUCAUAGUUUUCUUGUAGCCAUUGUAAAAUGUAAUCUUUACACAAUGGAUGGUGACCAAACCACUUUACUGAGAACAAACUCUAACACACAUUGGGCACCCCUGGGGGCAUGUGAGUGUUUCAAAAAUAUGUACAAUAAAAUGUGGAUUUUUCAAAAAUGUGAAUGAAUUUUUUUUAAUUAUACAUACUCUGAUUUGUUUUUAUUAUUAAGUCCCAAAUGUUAUUUAUAGUUAAACCUUAUGCUAUUUCAAUCAUUUUGAAAAUUCAAAUAAAAUAAUUAGGGGAGCUAGUUUGAAGGGGGGGCGUGAGUUUUUUAUGUUAGCUACAAGGGGGCAUGGUUUUAAAAAGGCGGAAAAACACUGCUGUAGUUCCUAAGCUUUGUGUAAAAACCUGGACUGGAACUAUUCCAGAGACUUCUGAACUGGAACAUAUAAAACACAGACUGGAUUUUCUAACAUUACAAUGUUAGAGUGAAGGUAGACAUAACAUUCUGAGUGUAAGGGGAGUGAUUUAAACCCAUAUCUAUGUAUGGCUUGUUUUUAUGUGCACCCCUUAGAAAUGGGAAUGAUUAAGUGGUAUAUAAAUGUCUUAAAUAAAUGAAUGAAUAAAUAUUCUCUGCCCUGAAAACAAAUUUCUCAGCCUCCAACAAAUGUGUGUUCAACCGUCAAACCACUUCCACCACAAUUCCAUCCUCAUGUGACCUGCAUAGGCCUAUCACUGUAAGGAAGCUUUCUUGGUUGAUGAGACUAGUAGUGUCCCCACAUUUACUUCCUUUGGUCAAACCUGAGUUGUUGUGGGGCACACGUUACAUCCCCAACUGAGAUGCUCAAUUUUUUUUUAUAAAAAGCCCACAAUGCAUUUAAAUUGUGGCACAGAGAUGGGUUUACAAUCCUAAUGAAACAGCUGGACAUAGAUACUUUUAAAUCCUAUUUAUUGAGGUGAAAGUAUUAAGCACAUGCUUUGGGCUGCAAUCCAAUACAUGUCUACUUAGAAAUAAGCUCCAUUAGGUUCAAUGCAAUUUACUCCCAGGUAAGUGUAUAUUUAAUAGCAGAGUCCUAAGCAUGCUUACUCAGAAAUAAGUCCUACUGUGUUCAGUUGUGCUUACUCAUUUAUAAGAGGCUUCAGGGAUG
Long non-coding RNA from Rhineura floridana, 2333 nucleotides. RefSeq lists it as uncharacterized. The transcript has 3 exons. The record is from RefSeq and is a predicted model, not a curated record. NCBI's taxonomy places the organism in Eukaryota, Metazoa, Chordata, Lepidosauria, Squamata, Rhineuridae.